This 417-nucleotide ribosomal RNA is filed under the name uncultured bacterium. RNAcentral describes it as "bacterial SSU rRNA". It matches the Rfam family "Bacterial small subunit ribosomal RNA", at positions 28 to 430 of the family's 1533-position model. The record is from RNAcentral.
GAUGAACGCUAGCUACAGGCUUAACACAUGCAAGUCGAGGGGAAACGACAUUGGAAGCUUGCUUCCUUUGGGCGUCGACCGGCGCACGGGUGAGUAACGCGUAUCCAACCUUCCCGCAAGUAAGGGAUAACCCGUAGAAAUGCGGCCUAAUACCUUAUGUUUUCCUUAGAGGGCAUCUGAUGAGGAACAAAGAUCCGUCGCUUGCGGAUGGGGAUGCGUCUGAUUAGUUAGUCGGCGGGGUAACGGCCCACCGAGACGACGAUCAGUAGGGGUUCUGAGAGGAAAGUCCCCCACAUUCGGAACUGAGACACGGUCCAAACUCCUACGGGAGGCAGCAGUGAGGAAUACUUGGUCAAAUGGGCGGAAGCCUGAACCAGCCAAGUAGCGUGCAGGACGACGGCCCUAUGGGUUGUAAAC